RNAcentral lists this ribosomal RNA (422 nucleotides) under uncultured bacterium. RNAcentral's name for it is "bacterial SSU rRNA". It matches the Rfam family "Bacterial small subunit ribosomal RNA", at positions 355 to 774 of the family's 1533-position model. The record is from RNAcentral.
UGAGGAAUAUUGGGCAAUGCCCGCAAGGGUGACCCAGCAACGCCGCGUGGAGGAUGAAUGUCGUAAGAUUGUAAACUCCUGUUAGAGGGGAAGAAUAGUACCGGUUGGACCGGUAUAUGACUGUACCCUCAGAGAAAGCCCAGGCUAACUACGUGCCAGCAGCCGCGGUAAUACGAAGGGUGCAAGCGUUACUCGGAAUUUCUGGGCGUAAAGCGUGCGUAGGUGGUUCGUUAAGUCUGAUGUGAAAGCCCUGGGCUCAACCUGGGAAUUGCAUUGUAAACUGGCGGACUGGAGUGCGGUAGAGGGUAGCGGAAUUCCCGGUGUAGCAGUGAAAUGCGUAGAGAUCGGGAGGAACAUCCGUGGCGAAGGCGGCUACCUGGACCAGCACUGACACUGAGGCACGAAAGCGUGGGGAGCAAACA